RNAcentral lists this ribosomal RNA (442 nucleotides) under uncultured bacterium. RNAcentral's name for it is "partial 16S ribosomal RNA". It matches the Rfam family "Bacterial small subunit ribosomal RNA", at positions 338 to 795 of the family's 1533-position model. The record is from RNAcentral.
CCUACGGGUGGCAGCAGUAGGGAAUCUUUCACAAUGGGCGAAAGCCUGAUGGAGCAACGCCGCGUGCAGGAUGAAGGCCUUCGGGUUGUAAACUGCUUUUAUAAGCGAGAAAUAUGAUGGUAACUUAUGAAUAAGGAUCGGCUAACGACGUGACAGCAGCCGCGGUCAUACGUAGGAUCCGAGCAUUAUCCGGAGUGACUGGGUGUAAAGAGUUGCGUAGGUGGCAUAAUUAGUAGCUAGUGAAAUCUGGUGGCUCAACCAUUCAGACUAUUAGCUAAACUGUUAAGCUCGAGACCGUUAGGGGUAACUGGAAUUUCUAGUGUAGGAGUGAAAUCCGUAGAUAUUAGAAGGAACACCAAUAGCGUAGGCAGGUUGCUGGGACGGUUCUGACACUAAGGCACGAAAGCGUAGGGAGCAAACGGGAUUAGAUACCCCAGUAGUC